This 494-nucleotide ribosomal RNA is filed under the name uncultured bacterium. RNAcentral's name for it is "partial 16S ribosomal RNA". It matches the Rfam family "Bacterial small subunit ribosomal RNA", at positions 28 to 507 of the family's 1533-position model. The record is from RNAcentral.
GACGAACGCUGGCGGCGUGCUUAACACAUGCAAGUCGAGCGGAAAGGCCUGCUUUCCCUUGUGGAUUGCGGGUACUCGAGUGGCGAACGGGUGAGUAACACGUGAGUGAUCUGCCCCCAACUUGGGUAUAAGCCUGGGAAACUGGGUCUAAUUCCCGAUAGGACUGCAGGGUGGUGCCUGUGGUGGAAAACGAUUUUCUAGUGGUUGGGGAUGAGCUCGCGGCCUAUCAGCUUGUUGGUGGGGUAAUGGCCUACCAAGGCGGCGACGGGUAGCCGGCCUGAGAGGGUGGACGGCCACAUUGGGACUGAGAUACGGCCCAGACUCCUACGGGAGGCAGCAGUGGGGAAUAUUGCACAAUGGGCGGAAGCCUGAUGCAGCGACGCCGCGUGGGGGAUGACGGCCUUCGGGUUGUAAACUCCUUUCGACCGCGAGGAAGCCACCUGGUUGGAAGGGUGGUGACGGUAGUGGUAGAAGAAGCACCGGCUAACUGCGUG